CGGACGGGUGAGUAACGCGUGAGAACCUGCCUCUAGGACGGGGACAACAGUUGGAAACGGCUGCUAAUCCCGGAUAAGCCGAAAGGUGAAAGAUUUAUCGCCGAGAGAGGGGCUUGCGUCUGAUUAGCUAGUUGGUAGGGUAAGAGCCUACCAAGGCGACGAUCAGUAGCUGGUCUGAGAGGAUGAUCAGCCACACUGGGACUGAGACACGGCCCAGACUCCUACGGGAGGCAGCAGUGGGGAAUUUUCCGCAAUGGGCGAAAGCCUGACGGAGCAAGACCGCGUGGGGGAGGAAGGUUCUUGGAUUGUCAACCCCUUUUCUCAGGGAAGAAGAAAGUGACGGUACCUGAGGAAGAAGCAUCGGCUAACUCCGUGCCAGCAGCCGCGGUAAUACGGGGGAUGCAAGCGUUAUCCGGAAUGAUUGGGCGUAAAGAGUCCGUAGGUGGCUGUUCAAGUCUGCUGUUAAAGAGCGAGGCUUAACUUCGUAAAAGCAGUGGAAACUGAAGGGCUAGAGUAUAGUAGGGGCAGAGGGAAUUCCUGGUGUAGCGGUGAAAUGCGUAGAGAUCAGGAAGAACACCGGUGGCGAAAGCGCUCUGCUGGGCUAAAACUGACACUGAGGGACGAAAGCUAGGGGAGCGAAUGGGAUUAGAUACCCCUGUAGUC
RNAcentral lists this ribosomal RNA (663 nucleotides) under uncultured cyanobacterium. Its description in RNAcentral is "bacterial SSU rRNA". It matches the Rfam family "Bacterial small subunit ribosomal RNA", at positions 99 to 795 of the family's 1533-position model. Lineage: Bacteria; Bacillati; Cyanobacteriota. The record is from RNAcentral.